CACAAGUGGCUCAGGUAGUGCAGCUCAUCCAGGAUGGCACAUCAAUGAGAGCUGUGGCAAGAAGGUUUGCUGUGUCUGUCAGCGUAGUGUCUAGAGCAUGGAGGCGCUACCAGGAGACAGGCCAGUACAUCAGGAGACAUGGAGGAGGCCGUAGGAGGGCAACAACCCUGCAGCAGGACCGCUACCUCUGCCUUUGUGCAAGAAGGAACAGGAGGAGCACUGCCAGAGCCCUGCAAAAUGGCCACAAAUGUGCAUGUGUCUGCUCAAACGGUCAGAAACAGACUCCAUGAGGGUGGUAUGAGGGCCCG
Pelobates cultripes (western spadefoot toad) is the source of this 308-nucleotide non-coding RNA. The record is from the annotation of a GenBank genome assembly. Lineage: Eukaryota; Metazoa; Chordata; Amphibia; Anura; Pelobatidae.